GGAAGGAUACCCACUCAGACAGCCUCUGCAGUAUGAGAAUGGAGUGCUUUGAAUCAUCCUGGAGGAUAUGAAACAACAGGAUUUAUAGCCUGCCUUUCUCCCACAAUGAGUUAUGGAAUGUUGUUGAUGUAGUUGAACUAUCCUGCAAAGAAAUAUGGAAAAAGACCAUGCCAACUUGUGGAUGAUGUCAGGAAGAACUGAAACAGCUAUACUAUCCAGUCUAAAAAUGGGAUAUGGACAGUCAAAAAUGGCCCUCUGCACUGAGAGAAAAUACAGCUUUGAGGUGAUGGAUCUAGCCACACACUGCAGAAUGCGGCAUAUGCUCCACAUCAACUAAAUUACAGCUCUUUGGCUUUACUAAGGUGGCUUGAAGAUGGGCCAGUUCACAGCCAUGUUCAAGAUUCUGAAUCUAUUCAGGAAAUCAUUU
Long non-coding RNA from Sceloporus undulatus (fence lizard), 427 nucleotides. RefSeq lists it as uncharacterized. The record is from RefSeq and is a predicted model, not a curated record. The transcript has 3 exons. Lineage: Eukaryota; Metazoa; Chordata; Lepidosauria; Squamata; Phrynosomatidae.